This 163-nucleotide small nuclear RNA is filed under the name Crocodylus porosus (Australian saltwater crocodile). Its description in RNAcentral is "U1 spliceosomal RNA (ENSCPRG00005003090.1)". It matches the Rfam family "U1 spliceosomal RNA". From Rfam's summary of the family: U1 is a small nuclear RNA (snRNA) component of the spliceosome (involved in pre-mRNA splicing). Its 5' end forms complementary base pairs with the 5' splice junction, thus defining the 5' donor site of an intron. There are significant differences in sequence and secondary structure between metazoan and yeast U1 snRNAs, the latter being much longer (568 nucleotides as compared to 164 nucleotides in human). Lineage: Eukaryota; Metazoa; Chordata; Crocodylia; Crocodylidae. The record is from RNAcentral.
AAAAAGGGUCAGCGGGGGAGAUACCAUGAUCAAUCAGGUGGUUUUCCCAGGGUGAACCUGGCUUUUGCACUCUGGGCAGGCUAAUGUCUGCAAGCUUCCCAAAUGUAGGAUGCUCAAGCGCACGUUCUGUGGUAGUGGGGGACUGUGUUUGUACUUUCCUCCU